Molecule: ribosomal RNA, 667 nt
Filed under: uncultured fungus
Lineage: Eukaryota; Fungi
Description: eukaryotic LSU rRNA
Rfam family: Eukaryotic large subunit ribosomal RNA
Source: RNAcentral
CCCGCUGAACUUAAGCAUAUCAAUAAGCGGAGGAAAAGAAACUAACAAGGAUUCCCCUAGUAACUGCGAGUGAAGCGGGAAAAGCUCAAAUUUAAAAUCUGGUGGCCUUUGGCCGUCCGAGUUGUAAUUUAGAGAAGCGUCUUCCGCGCUGGACCGUGCACAAGUCUCCUGGAAUGGAGCGUCAUAGAGGGUGAGAAUCCCGUCUUUGGCACGGACUCCCGGUGCUUCUGCGAUGCGCUCUCGACGAGUCGAGUUGUUUGGGAAUGCAGCUCAAAAUGGGUGGUGAACUCCAUCUAAAGCUAAAUACUGGCGAGAGACCGAUAGCGAACAAGUACCGUGAGGGAAAGAUGAAAAGCACUUUGGAAAGAGAGUGAAACAGUACGUGAAAUUGUUGAAAGGGAAACGCUUGAAGUCAGUCGCGUCGACCGAGACUCAGCCUUGCCUUGGCUUGGUGUGCUUCUCGGCUCGACGGGUCAGCAUCAAUUUCGAUCCUUGGAUAAUGGCAAGGGAAAGGUAGCACCUUUUAAGGUGUGUUAUAGUCCUCUGUCGCAUGCGAGGGUCGGGAUUGAGGAACUCAGCACGCACCUCCGGGUGUCGGGGUCUUUGCCCACGUUACGUGCUUAGGAUGCUGGCAUAAUGGCUUUAAACGACCCGUCUUGAAACACGG